GUUGGUGUAGCUGCCUGGUAGAGUGCAUGAUUUGUAUGUAUGAUGUUCUGGGUUCAAUCCCCAGCUGCUCCC
Dallia pectoralis (Alaska blackfish) is the source of this 72-nucleotide non-coding RNA. The record is from the annotation of a GenBank genome assembly. Lineage: Eukaryota; Metazoa; Chordata; Actinopteri; Esociformes; Umbridae.